AACAAAGAAGCAUAAGUGGUUUGAAGCGGUUGGCUUGAAACCAGCGUACGAGGGUUCGAUUCCUUCCUUUCUUG
This 74-nucleotide transfer RNA is filed under the name Columba livia (rock pigeon). RNAcentral describes it as "tRNA-Ser". It matches the Rfam family "tRNA". From Rfam's summary of the family: Transfer RNA (tRNA) molecules are approximately 80 nucleotides in length. Their secondary structure includes four short double-helical elements and three loops (D, anti-codon, and T loops). Lineage: Eukaryota; Metazoa; Chordata; Aves; Columbiformes; Columbidae. The record is from RNAcentral.